This is a long non-coding RNA of Arvicola amphibius (Eurasian water vole), 1188 nucleotides long. RefSeq lists it as uncharacterized. The transcript is spliced from 3 exons. The record is from RefSeq and is a predicted model, not a curated record. NCBI's taxonomy places the organism in Eukaryota, Metazoa, Chordata, Mammalia, Rodentia, Cricetidae.
UCACUCUGGUGUGUGUAUACACGAUCAAACAAGGCCUCAGGAGCCAUCCACUUGACUGGCAGGCGGCCCUAGAGGAAGAAGGUGGGGAUAAUAGUGUUUAGUUGCACAGGGCCUAUACCUUCCAUACCAGGCCCAGCCCCCACCUCAUUCCCAUGUAUCUGUGCCCUGCCCCUCACAUUGCUGGUUUUCUUAUAGUAGUCAAUAUGGUGGACGCCACGGGCCAGCCCGAAGUCAGCGAUCUUCAUCACAUCGUCCUCAGUCACCAGUACAUUUCGGGCAGCCAGGUCCCGGUGGAUGCACUAAGAAGAGGGCAGGGGACUUCGGUAUAUCAAGACACAUGUCUGGGAGCCGUGGUCAUCAUUUCACACGUGGAGCUCAGCCUCAAAGUGAGGUGCUGACGCCUGUGACGCCUACCAGUCUAUGCUUCUUCCGACUUUACAGAAGGAGACACCAAUCCGGAGGCUGCACUUGGAGACUAGCUUGAACUCUAAGGAUCUGGUGUGACACCCUUCUGUGAAGACCAGGUUGCCCUCCAUAUUGCAAUGAUCCCCUUGACUUUGUUUCCAAACUGUUGGGAUUGCAGGCGUGCCUACGGCCAGAGGACCCUGAAUUCACCUGAUUGCAGAAACUGCAUGGGGCCAGGCCUGGUUUGUACUUGGGUGGGAGAUUACCGGUGAGAGCCAUCAGGCCAGGCCCCAGUGAAUUUUCAAGUAGUUUCUCCCAUCUUUCAUGUGAUAGUUUUGGCACAGCGUGGUGGUCUGGCCACGUGUGCAGACCCCACUCACCUUUUGCCAGCUCUUGGUCUCAGUUCGUGCCCUGGAGCAGCCCAGUGGACUUAGCAAGGUCCCUUUUUUAGGAUGAGGAGAUAAAUGGGCCCCAAGUUUCAGUACUAUCACUCCUGGCCCUGUCUUCAUUUUCUCUUGAGCAAAUCAGUACAUGAUAGUGUGGCCCUUAAGAUACCCGCAAAAGUGGGGAUUCACAUGUUCCUAUGUGACCUAUGGUCUCUUCCAAUCAGUAUUUCUUCACCGCACUCUCAAGGUUGUAGCUGAAUGGCUGCUUGUGUAAGCAGUUGGGAAAUGUUACACUCCUGGGAGAUGAGACCUGGAACUGCACCCCUCACCUUUGUACCUCAAGUGCCCGGCACACGGUCGGUGUCUUCAGAGAGCAUCAUCCCCACCUGGCCCAGGU